Molecule: non-coding RNA, 3954 nt
Organism: Rattus norvegicus (Norway rat)
Lineage: Eukaryota; Metazoa; Chordata; Mammalia; Rodentia; Muridae
Source: RefSeq, a predicted model, not a curated record
CCCCGACAGUUAAUUAAAAUAUAUUAAUUAAGAGAAAUGUGGGAAAGAUAAAUAGAUAAAAAGAUGGCUUUAGGUUCCUCUUUAGAAUAGUAGUUCAACAUGGACACAUCUGAACCCAGACUCUGUUCUGUUUCUCUUCGAUUUCGUUUCUUUUCUUUUUUUUUUUUCUUUCUUUUUUUUUUCGGAGCUGGGGACCGAACCCAGGGCCUUGCGCUUGCUAGGCAAGUGCUCUACCGCUGAGCUAAAUCCCCAACCCCGUUUCUUUUCUUUUUAAAAUUGUAGUUUUAGGUAAGUGUCUGAGCACAUGAGUGCAGUACCUGUAGGUUCCAGGAGGGGGUGCCAGAUCCCCUGGAGCUGGAGUUAGAGGCAGUUGCCUGUGAGCAAGCAGCCUUGGGUGGGAGAAACAAAACUUCCAGAGCACCCAGUGCUCUUUAUCACAGAGCCGUCUCCCAUCCCUUGUUCAGUUGUUUUUGACGGACUAUGUACUCUGUCAUUUCAGAGAUAAAGUGCAAAUCAUUUCCACUCUUUUCUUCCUUUAAAACUCAUCCAGAAGUUUGGAUCAAGGAAAAGGAGUGUGUGUAUAUACAUUUUUAAAAAUUGCUAGGAAGAGGGGUCAAGCCAAGCUUCAAAUAUUUGCAUCCUGAAAAUAUUUAUGUGAUUUGUAAAUAUAUAUACAUAUACAUGUGUAUGUAUAUAUAUAUUUGCAUUCUGCAAAUACUUAGUUUGAAGAACAGUCCUCUGGGCUUUGGUUUGGAGUGCAGGCUAGUCUUGAAAUUGUCACACCCCCACCCCACCCCAGCUUUAAGACUCCUGGAAUUACAGGGGUGGUCCCCGAUGCCUGACCACACUUUCCUCUUGUAAAUAUGCAAAGCGUAUUUUAGUGAUGUCUUUUAAUCACACGAGUCUUGGAACGUCUACUGCACCUGAAGAAGAGAGAAGCAGGGACUAGAGUUCCGGUCGACACCAUCUGCCUUCUAUGCCUCAUCAAACACUGGUGGGUAUAUUUUAAUCUCUGCGGCCAACUCUGUGUCUGAAAAGAAAAAAGACUCGGGAAAGAGGGAAUGAAAAAUGCCUUCAGGAUGGAAAGCCCCUUGCAGGUCCUGUUCCGUGAGCUGACCGUGAGCUGAUCUGGGCAGCCAUUGCUCACUGAGCAUUGUUGGUUCUUAAUCGUCUCAAGGUCCACACGGAAGGGCAAACUCUCUAUUCCUCCAGCAACAGCUUUCAAAGCAAGAACUUCAAUUUCCAUCGACACUAGCCUGAACUGUUUCCCCCUCAAAGCCUUCCCUGAUGCUAGGAACAUUCGUUCAACCGUCCUACCUGCUACAGAGUUCUGACCACAAAGAUCACGAUUCAGUCACAGAGGGACACUUUCACACACCGUCCAGUCAGAGUUGCCUGCCCACAGAUUCUGAGUAGCACAUAGCGGUGUGUGUGUGUGUGUGAAAUCCACACUAUUCCUGCAUUUGGUCUUCAAUGACUGAAACACCAAUUUCUGUGUGUGGAUAGCUUGUAGCCCCAUCAUCAGUGUGAGGCUGCUGGGGUGGGGGCGUGUUAGUUGGCAAUCGUGAUCGUUAUUAGAUUCUGAGCACCCCUCAGGAUGGGCGUGGAACAAUGUAAGAUCACUCCUGUUUGAGUGGAGUUUCUUUGAAGUUGCAGCCAAGAAAGGAUUCCUAGGUAACUAGUCGUUGCUGCUGAGUGUGGAAAGCAGCCAUGAUCUGUCCCGUAGGGGGUUUUCAAAUGGGCUGGGGUCGGUGCUGGGAUAGCAUACGAAGUCCCUUUCACCUGUAUGCCUUUGUAUCCUUACUUGUUAGAGGGGCUACCACGCUAUUCCCGUUCAGGGCUACUAUCAUGCUUCGCUGUGUCUGGCUUCCCUCCCAGUGCUGAGUCAUGAAUGACUGAAAUCCGGCGCGGGGGUGAAAGGUGCCUUUGUUCCUCUCAGUGGCUGCUCUCCCAGGGUGGUCAGUUAUACUCCAACCGGCAUUUCCUGCCAGUACUUUGUCUUGCUUCUGUAAGCUCAGCCUCAAGCCGUUCCCUUUCUCCCUCACUUGCUCAUUCAUGGAAAGGUGAUUCAUUCAUGGUGAUCUCCGUGUGGGGAAGGCACCGUGCAAGGUGCUGGGAUUAGCAACAAGAAUAAGCAGGAUAGGCUCUCCUGGAAAAUUCAAAAUGGCCAAACCCUUAGAGAGAUUAACUUGGUUUCUUACUGAGGAGCUACAGCGUGUGCUGGGGUCACGUGACUGUGCCUAGCAACAAGAGGCUGAAGGGGAGGAGGAGGUGCCCUCAGGAAUGCCGGGAGCUGGUGGUGGUGACGGAAGCCUUGAUGAUCUUUCUGUCACUAAAUACUGUUGGCUUGCUUCUCAAAUUCACCUCGGGGCUCCCAUUUAUUAAAUACUACUGUCUCCAUCUUUCCAUCAGCACCAGUGAGGUGCAAGCUCAGGUCACCUCCUUCUGGGCUCAUGAUCAGUCACCAUUUCGUCUGCUAGUGUGUUUUCUAGUCUCUAUUCCUGCCCUGCUGUAACCCGUUCUGCACACACCCAGAACAUGGGGCGGUCGUAACCCUCUCAAUAGCUUCUCAAAUUCAAAAAACUCAAUAUGGUGGCCUCCCAAGCUCCCAAGACCACACGCUUGGCCACCUGUGAAGGUCCCUCCCAUUUGGACUGCAUCUUCUUUUCUAUAGCCGCAGAGAGUUCUCAGCUUCCUCUUCAUCCUUCGCAGUGUGCUUCCUGCUCCCCCUCUCCCCGUGCGCCCCACAGGUACCACAGGGCUGUUCCCCCUUUUCAUUUAGUUCUCAGCCCUGGUCAGAGCCUUCCCUUCUGCCCAUUGCACCUAAGACAGCAAUCCCUGCCGCUACGGCUCUCCGUCCUCUCGUGCUUCCUUUGCACCCUGAUUGCGUACCGCGUUUCGCUGGGGCCUCCUCAUCACGCUGUGGAAUAGAAGCUUCGUGAAGGUUCUGUCUACUUCGGCUUGGUGCGCGGCCCACAGGAAGUCACAGCUGCUCUUCUCACCCCCUUGAGGAUUGUAACGCAGACUUACACGCAGUCCCGCCGCGACUGUUUGAGUUGUUUAUGGCAGAUAUUGAGUGGCUCAGCAUUCAUUCUCGUGUGAGCAGGGACGUCUGAGUCCAGUCGUGGCGCCAAAAACUCGCAAUUGGGUUCAAAGUCAAGAGAUGAGGAUCCCGGGAUUCGUGUCGGAAAGUGGACAGUGAGAAGUGGGGUUUCAAGUUCUUCUGGAUCUUCUGGAAAGUAAGACCCAUGUUUGCUCACCUGUCUGCUUGAGGCGGGGACUUGAUGGCCUGGGAUUUGGAAUUCAGCUCAAGCUGGUUUUGAAGGCACGAACCCUCCGUCUCAGAUUUCCGAAUGUGAGGAUUUUAGGAGCCACCCAGACAGCCGAAGCUCGAGAAUCUUUGUCACUCACUAAAAAGUAGUCUAUCAUACGCAUGCUAGCUUGGAGGGUCAGUUAUGGUGCAGCAGCUCGGAAGUCUACCUGAGCUCCAGUUUUCAUGGCUAAAAAAGAGAUUGGGCCAGCAAUCAGACCAAGCAAGCAGACAACUAUUCAGCUUGGUGCUUCAGCUUUCUACAGAUCAUCAGAGCUUGUUGGAAAUUUAAGGCGUAUCUCACUGGCCCCAAAAAUUGCACUGCAGUCACAGUAGACAGGGGGAUUGUAGUCAUGGUGGGUGGAAGAGGUGAAUCUUUUCCCCCUCAAAAUAGCAUUUAGAUCCCAUUAACCAAAUAUUCCUACUUCGUUAAUAAGAAAUAAAAUGGGUCUGGAGAGAUGGCUCAGGGUUAAGAGCACUGGCUGCUCUUCCAGAGACUCUGAGUUCAAUUCCCACCAACCACAUGGUGGCUCGCAACCAUCUGUAAUGGGAUCCGAUGCCCUCUUCUGGUGUGUCUGAAGACAGCUGCAGUGUACUCACAUACAUAAAGUAAAUAAAUACAUCUUUAAAAAAACAAAAUAAAA